GUAGGUGGCAAGCGUUGUCCGGAAUUAUUGGGCGUAAAGCGCGCGCAGGCGGUUCUUUAAGUCUGACGUGAAAGCCCACGGCUCAACCGUGGAGGGUCAUUGGAAACUGGAGAACUUGAGUACAGAAGAGGAAAGCGGAAUUCCACGUGUAGCGGUGAAAUGCGUAGAGAUGUGGAGGAACACCAGUGGCGAAGGCGGCUUUCUGGUCUGUAACUGACGCUGAGGCGCGAAAGCGUGGGGAGCAAACAGGGAUUAGAUACCCUGGUAGUCCACGCCGUAAACGAUGAGUGCUAAGUGUUAGGGGGUUUCCGCCCCCUUAGUGCUGCAGCUAACGCAUUAAGCACUCCGCCUGGGGAUACGGCCGCAAGGCUG
Molecule: ribosomal RNA, 372 nt
Filed under: uncultured organism
Description: partial 16S ribosomal RNA
Rfam family: Bacterial small subunit ribosomal RNA
Source: RNAcentral